This 1116-nucleotide long non-coding RNA is filed under the name Monodelphis domestica (gray short-tailed opossum). Its description in RNAcentral is "lncRNA (ENSMODG00000048537.1)". The record is from RNAcentral. Lineage: Eukaryota; Metazoa; Chordata; Mammalia; Didelphimorphia; Didelphidae.
AAAAAAAAAAUAGAACUAGUACUUGGAAAGGGAACUACAUUUUCCCAAGGGUUCUGGAGGGAGAAGAUUGGGGAGCAGUGCACACACCGUCUGCCCAAGAGGAAAAGGCCAUUGGGGGGAAAACCGGUUGGGCCGCAUUGCCACAGGAGCCCAUUCCCUUUCCUCGAAGCUGGGACACACAAGACAAAAGUUUUCCCUGUUCUGGAGAAGAGGCUAAGGGGGUGGGGGGGUGGAGAAGGGGUGAGGGGAGGGAAGCCAGGGGGGUGGGGAAAAUUCCUCACAAGUGACAUUAUCUGUGACCUCCAGCUGCCGCUGCCGCUGCCGCUGCCCCAGCCCUGCACCUCCCUCCCUCUCUCUCCCCCUUCCCCAGGGAGCGCCGUUCCCGGGGAGCCCCCUCCCCUUUGUUUCCAGCCCUGUACCCCUCCCCCUUUCGCCGCCCGGGGCUGGGCGCUCCCUCCCAGGGCCCGGGAUCUGGGCCCCUCCCGGGCGAGCCACACCGGAGCCCAGGGCUCCCGGCCGGCGGAGGCUGCUCGUGCUCCGGAUACGCGGCCUGCAUGGUUCUCCAGCCCAGUGGAGGGAGGGAGUACCCCGGCCCGGGCCCCCGACUCUGGCUCGCGUCUUACCUGCUGCUCUGCCGAGCUCCGGGCGCCCCUGGGAGAGGGCGCAGACAGCUGCGGCCGCUGCUUCCCCGUGUCCACAAGCCGCGUCCCCGGGAGCUGGGGGCCGUGCACACUCCGGCUAGAGCCGCCGCCACGACCGCCCAAGCCCUGGGCCCGGCCCCGCAGCAAGCACCGGCUCCGGGGCCCCCCGCCCCCGCCGCGGGUAACCCUUCCCCGACAGCGCAGCUCCAGCGCCGCCGCCACCACCUCCUCCAGCCCGCCCUCCUUCCUUCCUUCCUCUUUCCCGGUGCCCAGCCCCUGGUCCCCAGGCAGGGCACCCCCGCGCUGGGCUCGGAAGUUUUCCCGGCAAGGGAAAGGCUGGGCUCGAGCCGCAGGGGUCCAGGGGCCGCCUCUCCCCAGGGGCUGGUGCCUAGGGGUUCUCAUACACAAUAGGGGCGCACGCGGAGCGCAGGGGAGACUCUCCCCGCCUUACCCCCAAAAGAGCUCACCUACCUAA